RNAcentral lists this long non-coding RNA (223 nucleotides) under Eucalyptus grandis. RNAcentral describes it as "long non-coding RNA (EGRA_LNC002450)". Lineage: Eukaryota; Viridiplantae; Streptophyta; Magnoliopsida; Myrtales; Myrtaceae. The record is from RNAcentral.
CAAAGUCCGGUCCAGCAGUUUAUCCCAUUGGAAUUCGACCCAAUCCACAGUAGCCCAAGCCCAGUUUUCGGCCCAUCUUCAAGCUCACAACUUGAAGCCUAAAAUCAGUUCGGCCCCAAGCCCAUCAUUUGCUGUGAGCUUGCAAGGUUUCUUGGCCCGGUUCAAGUUCAUCGCGGGCCCAAGUUCGACCGCUGUCGCGGUGUUCCGUUCUUCGCAAAUCAAG